UACAACUUCUGACAGAACCAAACUGCCUC
RNAcentral lists this non-coding RNA (29 nucleotides) under Rattus norvegicus (Norway rat). The record is from RNAcentral. Lineage: Eukaryota; Metazoa; Chordata; Mammalia; Rodentia; Muridae.